This 559-nucleotide long non-coding RNA is filed under the name Lactuca sativa (garden lettuce). RNAcentral's name for it is "long non-coding RNA (LSAT_LNC000336)". The record is from RNAcentral. Lineage: Eukaryota; Viridiplantae; Streptophyta; Magnoliopsida; Asterales; Asteraceae.
CCAAAACUUGAGGGCAAGUUUUGAAACAUUUCAAAACAUUAGGGUUUAACUUAUUUAAAUUUCAUAAACAAAACUUUUAAGUUCAAAUUUAAACUAUAAAACCUAAAGGGUACAAUUGAAACUUUUUCUCAUCACAAAUGAUCAAAUAACAAAUAAUAAUUAAUAUAGUCAUUAUCUAUAUUUGACCUAAUCUUAUUUCAAUCACUAGAUAAUUACCAAAUAACUUUAAAUAAUCCAUAUUUAUCACAUAAAUAACCAAUAUUCAAAAGAUUUGAAAUUAUCUAUUGUUUUGGCAAGGAUAAUCAUUAUUUUAAGAUAAAAUUCGGAUUUUAACUUCAUAAAAUAAUUUAAGCAUCAAAUCCAAGUCAAAACAGCAGCUAGAAUCCGAAAUACCCUCUGCCUGACGCACUGACUCGCCGAGUNACCUGACGCACUGACUCGCCGAGUUAGAUCUGAACUCGCCGAGUAGGGGCCAACUCCCCAAGUCCAGAUACUGACUCGCCGAGUUGAGUCGGGCAGAGGCCAAAAACACGUUUUUCAAUAAAUAAUUCAACAUAGC